UACAGAGGUGGCAAGCGUUGUUCGGAAUUACUGGGCGUAAAGAGCUCGUAGGCGGCUUGUCACGUCGGGUGUGAAAGCCCGGGGCUUAACCCCGGGUCUGCAUUCGAUACGGGCUAGCUAGAGUGUGGUAGGGGAGAUCGGAAUUCCUGGUGUAGCGGUGAAAUGCGCAGAUAUCAGGAGGAACACCAGCGGCGAAGGCGGCGCUCUGGGCCGGAACUGACGCUGAGGAGCGAAAGCGUGGGUAGCAAACAGG
Molecule: ribosomal RNA, 253 nt
Filed under: uncultured bacterium
Lineage: Bacteria
Description: partial 16S ribosomal RNA
Rfam family: Bacterial small subunit ribosomal RNA
Source: RNAcentral